This 74-nucleotide transfer RNA is filed under the name Perkinsus olseni. It matches the Rfam family "tRNA". From Rfam's summary of the family: Transfer RNA (tRNA) molecules are approximately 80 nucleotides in length. Their secondary structure includes four short double-helical elements and three loops (D, anti-codon, and T loops). Further hydrogen bonds mediate the characteristic L-shaped molecular structure. tRNAs have two regions of fundamental functional importance: the anti-codon, which is responsible for specific mRNA codon recognition, and the 3' end, to which the tRNAs corresponding amino acid is attached (by aminoacyl-tRNA synthetases). tRNAs cope with the degeneracy of the genetic code in two manners: having more than one tRNA (with a specific anti-codon) for a particular amino acid; and 'wobble' base-pairing, i.e. permitting non-standard base-pairing at the 3rd anti-codon position. Lineage: Eukaryota; Perkinsozoa; Perkinsida; Perkinsidae. The record is from Rfam by way of RNAcentral.
GCUCUGGUGGCUCAAUCGGAUAGAGCGUUGGACUUCUACUCCUAAGGUUGUGGGUUCAAGUCCCGCCCAGAAUA